RNAcentral lists this long non-coding RNA (243 nucleotides) under Lathyrus oleraceus (garden pea). Its description in RNAcentral is "Pisum sativum (pea) long non-coding RNA (PSAT_LNC019561)". Lineage: Eukaryota; Viridiplantae; Streptophyta; Magnoliopsida; Fabales; Fabaceae. The record is from RNAcentral.
UAACUUGUGUUUAUUGCCUAUAGUUCUAUUGACCGACCUCAGGUAGGUAUGACUACUACAUUAGUCCACUUACGAUUGCUUAAUAUAGCGCUAAAUUGCCUUAUGGCACACUAACACUAACUUCUAAUGACUAACUUUUAAUUCAAGCAUUUAAUUCUUGAAAUUUACUUUAAUGCAAUUUAAUUUCUUAUUCAUUAUUUCAUUUGCCUUUGCCCUUUGCUCACUUGAGCUCAUAUUUAUGUU